GUCUACAGCCAUGCCACCUUGAACAAGACCGAUCCCAUCUGAUCUCAAAAGCUAAGCAGAGUCAGGCCUGGUUAGUACUUGGAUGGGAGACCACCUAAAGACCAGGUGUUGUAGGCG
RNAcentral lists this ribosomal RNA (117 nucleotides) under Pteropus alecto (black flying fox). Lineage: Eukaryota; Metazoa; Chordata; Mammalia; Chiroptera; Pteropodidae. The record is from RNAcentral.